UGGGGAAUAUUGCGCAAUGGGCGGAAGCCUGACGCAGCGACGCCGCGUGAGGGAUGACGGCCUUCGGGUUGUAAACCUCUUUCAGCAGGAACGAAUUUAGACGGUACCUGCAGAAGAAGCACCGGCCAACUACGUGCCAGCAGCCGCGGUAAUACGUAGGGUGCAAGCGUUGUCCGGAAUUAUUGGGCGUAAAGAGCUCGUAGGCGGUUUGUCGCGUCGAAUGUGAAAUCCCGGGGCUCAACUCCGGGCUUGCAUUCGAUACGGGCAGACUAGAGUUCGGUAGGGGAGUCUGGAAUUCCUGGUGUAGCGGUGAAAUGCGCAGAUAUCAGGAGGAACACCGGUGGCGAAGGCGGGACUCUGGGCCGAUACUGACGCUGAGGAGCGAAAGCGUGGGGAGCAAACAGGAUUAGAUACCCCCGUAGUCC
This 425-nucleotide ribosomal RNA is filed under the name uncultured bacterium. Its description in RNAcentral is "bacterial SSU rRNA". It matches the Rfam family "Bacterial small subunit ribosomal RNA", at positions 355 to 796 of the family's 1533-position model. The record is from RNAcentral.